ACUCAAACCAGCUGUAUUAAGGAAGGUGCAAGCUUUUGGGAUUUCUGUUUGGAUUUAGUUUAGGUUCAAAAGAGCACGCACAGAUCCUGAGUGUUGUCAAGCACCCGUGACUGGGAAACGGAGGCGUCCGAUCCGUAUUGGAGUCAAUUCGCCACUUAAUUGAACACAGCCUCGAAGGGAAGGGCCAUAUUUGUGGGCCUGUCUAACAAUUAAGAGUGACCACAUGGAAUGGGGGAUGAAAGGGUUAAAGAAGAACAAAUAUUGAACACAGCUUUUCUAUGAACAAACUGCAGGCAGCUGCUGCUUUGCAAGGGGAACUUCUUGGCUGCCAUUUCUGGAUGUCAAGGCUGCAGAUACACUGGUCAGGACCCUGGGUAGAGAGAGAUGCGUCAGAAUGCGGCUCCUUUCAGAAAGGCUUCUCCGGAGGUCAGCACUCGGGCAAAAGGCUGUGUGUGAUGUGUUUGGGAACACAAAGAAAAACCCUUUGAAAAGAUUCAGCACGUUGCCAUGGAGAACAUCCCACUGAAGGAAUGUAUAGAAGUAGCAGGGUUAACUGAGUGCCUUCCAUCUUCCCUCCAAGGGAUCUGCAAUGAGAUGGGAGAAGGCAACAGGCUGUGUGGGAACCACUGAAGCUGGGAUGGCAGGGAAAGAACAUCUUAGGCUAACUCUUCAAGCCUUGCUGUCACAUUUGCUUUUGAGUCUAUGGUUCCUUAUUAUUUUGGAAGGGUCUGAGAACCCACAGGGCACCCUGGGUCAUGACUCAUGUGACUGAGGAAGCACACAGAUCUGUGGAUCUCCAAGUCUAGAUGACAGCAAGCUAACAGGACACUGUUUAUGACAUAUAUAGCCCCCCCCCAACCCCUGCAGAUUUCAAAUAGGUUCUGACAAAGCUUUGUGGUAUCUGAAGGGUAGAUAGAGAAAAUAAGUGUAUCAUUUUGGUUUCUGUUUCUGCAUUACAGGUGUCAGCUGCCUACCAGUUGCUUUCAUCUCUAGAAAUCUGUGACUUGCAGUAUGACAAGAACAAAAGGUGACAAUACAAAGGACAAAGGGCAAGGAAUACAGACGGAGAAGCCGCUUAGAGUCUAGGAUGGCAGAGGUUCUCUUGAUCAUUUCAUUUUUGAGCGCUUGUAGAGCUUUGGUGUACCAGAGGUGCUUGAACAGCUUACCACACCACAGAUGAAUGGCCUUUGGAUUUCUCCUAAGAAAAUGUGGCUACCUGAAAUUCAACUCCAUUUUCUGGUCUUCAAUAUUUCUUUUGUGUUCAGUUUGCCAGCUGAGGAGAAGUGGCUAAGCAUAGCCUGUUACUGAUGCUAAAGCCCAAGUUCUGAACCUAACAACUCCAGCAACAUGAUCCUGUUUCAAGAGACAAAAAAGUGACUAAUGAAAGAAAACAAUUGAUGUGCUAUGUAGAGUUUAAAAGAAGGUAAAGAGAAUAAAUUAAAAGCAACAAC
Molecule: long non-coding RNA, 1451 nt
Filed under: Mus musculus (house mouse)
Lineage: Eukaryota; Metazoa; Chordata; Mammalia; Rodentia; Muridae
Description: predicted gene 14461
Source: RNAcentral